RNAcentral lists this ribosomal RNA (858 nucleotides) under uncultured bacterium. Its description in RNAcentral is "partial 16S ribosomal RNA". It matches the Rfam family "Bacterial small subunit ribosomal RNA", at positions 61 to 899 of the family's 1533-position model. The record is from RNAcentral.
GUCGAGCGGUAGCACAGAGAGCUUGCUCUCGGGUGACGAGCGGCGGACGGCCGAUUAAUGUCUGGGAAACUGCCUGAUGGAGGGGGAUAACUACUGCAUUCGGAAGCUAAUACCGCAUAACGUCGCAAGACCAAAGAGGGGGACCUUCGGGCCUCUUGCCAUCAGAUGUGCCCAGAUGGGAUUAGCUAGUAGGUGGGGUAAUGGCUCACCUAGGCGACGAUCCCUAGCUGGUCUGAGAGGAUGACCAGCCACACUGGAACUGAGACACGGUCCAGACUCCUACGGGAGGCAGCAGUGGGGAAUAUUGCACAAUGGGCGCAAGCCCGAUGCAGCCAUGCCGCGUGUAUGAAGAAGGCCUUCGGGUUGUAAAGUACUUUCAGCGGGGAGGAAGGGGGAGUGGUUAAUAACCACUUUCUUUUUUGUUACCCGCAGAAGAAGCACCGGCUAACUCCGUGCCAGCAGCCGCGGUAAUACGGAGGGUGCAAGCGUUAAUCGGAAUUACUGGGCGUAAAGCGGACGCAGGCGGUCUGGUCAGUCCGAUGUGAAAUCCCCGGGCUCAACCUGGGAACUGGCUCCCAAACUGGGAGGGUUGAGUCUUGGAGAGGGGGGGAGAAUUCCAAGGGGAGGCGUGGAAAUGCGAAUAGAUCCUGGAGAAAAACCGGUGGGGGAGGGCGGCCCCCCUGGACAAAGACCGGCCGCUCAAGGGGGAAAGGGUGGGGAGCAAAAAGGGAAUUAAAACCCCGGGAGUGCCCCCCCCAAAACCAAGGCGACUUGGAGAGGGGGGGCCUUUAAGGGGGGGCUUCCGGAAAUAAAACCUUUUAAUCCAACCCCUGGGGGGAACGGCCCCCAGGGGUAAAA